GACGAACGCUGGCGGCGUGCUUAACACAUGCGAGUCGAACGGAAAGGCCCUGCUUUUGGGGGGUGCUCGAGUGGCGAACGGGUGAGUAACACGUGAGUAACCUGCCCUUGACUUUGGGAUAACUUCAGGAAACUGGGGCUAAUACCGGAUAGGAGCUCCUGCUGCAUGGUGGGGGUUGGAAAGUUUCGGCGGUUGGGGAUGGACUCGCGGCUUAUCAGCUUGUUGGUGGGGUAGUGGCUUACCAAGGCUUUGACGGGUAGCCGGCCUGAGAGGGUGACCGGCCACAUUGGGACUGAGAUACGGCCCAGACUCCUACGGGAGGCAGCAGUGGGGAAUAUUGCACAAUGGGCGGAAGCCUGAUGCAGCAACGCCGCGUGCGGGAUGACGGCCUUCGGGUUGUAAACCGCUUUCGCCUGUGACGAAGCGUGAGUGACGGUAAUGGGUAAAGAAGCACCGGCUAACUACGUGCCAGCAGCCGCGGUGAUACGUAGGGUGCGAGCGUUGUCCGGAUUUAUUGGGCGUAAGGGGCUCGUAGGUGGUUGAUCGCGUCGGAAGUGUAAUCUUGGGGCUUAACCCUGAGCGUGCUUUCGAUACGGGUUGACUUGAGGAAGGUAGGGGAGAAUGGAAUUCCUGGUGGAGCGGUGGAAUGCGCAGAUAUCAGGAGGAACACCAGUGGCGAAGGCGGUUCUCUGGGCCUUUCCUGACGCUGAGGAGCGAAAGCGUGGGGAGCGAACAGGCUUAGAUACCCUGGUAGUCCACGCUGUAAACGGUGGGUACUAGGUGUGGGGUCCAUUCCACGGGUUCCGUGCCGUAGCUAACGCUUUAAGUACCCCGCCUGGGGAGUACGGCCGCAAGGCUAAAACUCAAAGGAAUUGACGGGGCCCCGCACAAGCGGCGGAGCAUGCGGAUUAAUUCGAUGCAACGCGUAGAACCUUACCUGGGUUUGACAUGGAUCGGGAGCGCUCAGAGAUGGGUGUGCCUCUUUUGGGGUCGGUUCACAGGUGGUGCAUGGCUGUCGUCAGCUCGUGUCGUGAGAUGUUGGGUUAAGUCCCGCAACGAGCGCAACCCUUGUUCACUGUUGCCAGCACGUUAUGGUGGGGACUCAGUGGAGACCGCCGGGGUCAACUCGGAGGAAGGUGGGGAUGACGUCAAGUCAUCAUGCCCCUUAUGUCCAGGGCUUCACGCAUGCUACAAUGGCUGGUACAGAGAGUGGCGAGCCUGUGAGGGUGAGCGAAUCUCGGAAAGCCGGUCUCAGUUCGGAGUGGGGUCUGCAACUCGACCUCAUGAAGUCGGAGUCGCUAGUAAUCGCAGAUCAGCAACGCUGCGGUGAAUACGUUCCCGGGGCU
This 1346-nucleotide ribosomal RNA is filed under the name uncultured bacterium. RNAcentral's name for it is "bacterial SSU rRNA". It matches the Rfam family "Bacterial small subunit ribosomal RNA", at positions 28 to 1381 of the family's 1533-position model. The record is from RNAcentral.